CGUACGAUACGAGUUUCGAUCAUGGCUCAGAUUGAACGCUGGCGGCAUGCCUUACACAUGCAAGUCGAACGGUAACGCGGGGCAACCUGGCGACGAGUGGCGAACGGGUGAGUAAUAUAUCGGAACGUGCCCAGUAGUGGGGGAUAGCCCGGCGAAAGCCGGAUUAAUACCGCAUGAGACCUGAGGGUGAAAGCGGGGGAUCGCAAGACCUCGCGCUAUUGGAGCGGCCGAUAUCAGAUUAGGUAGUUGGUGGGGUAAAGGCCUACCAAGCCGACGAUCUGUAGCUGGUCUGAGAGGACGACCAGCCACACUGGGACUGAGACACGGCCCAGACUCCUACGGGAGGCAGCAGUGGGGAAUUUUGGACAAUGGGCGCAAGCCUGAUCCAGCCAUGCCGCGUGCGGGAAGAAGGCCUUCGGGUUGUAAACCGCUUUUGUCAGGGAAGAAAUCUUCUGGGCUAAUACCUCGGGAGGAUGACGGUACCUGAAGAAUAAGCACCGGCUAACUACGUG
Molecule: ribosomal RNA, 512 nt
Filed under: uncultured bacterium
Lineage: Bacteria
Description: bacterial SSU rRNA
Rfam family: Bacterial small subunit ribosomal RNA
Source: RNAcentral